This 497-nucleotide ribosomal RNA is filed under the name uncultured bacterium. RNAcentral's name for it is "partial 16S ribosomal RNA". It matches the Rfam family "Bacterial small subunit ribosomal RNA", at positions 28 to 507 of the family's 1533-position model. The record is from RNAcentral.
GAUGAACGCUGGCGGCGUGCCUAAUACAUGCAAGUCGAGCGAACGGACGAGAAGCUUGCUUUUCUGAUGUUAGCGGCGGACGGGUGAGUAACACGUGGAUAACCUACCUAUAAGACUGGGAUAACUUCGGGAAACCGGAGCUAAUACCGGAGAAUAUUUUGAACCGCAUGGUUCAAAAGUGAAUGACGGUCUUGCUGUCACUUAUAGAUGGAUCCGCGCUGCAUUAGCUAGUUGGUAAGGUAACGGCUUACCAAGGCAACGAUGCAUAGCCGACCUGAGAGGGUGAUCGGCCACACUGGAACUGAGACACGGUCCAGACUCCUACGGGAGGCAGCAGUAGGGAAUCUUGCGCAAUGGGCGAAAGCCUGACGGAGCAACGCCGCGUGAGUGAUGAAGGUCUUCGGAUCGUAAAACUCUGUUAUUAGGGAAGAACAGAUGUGUAAGUAAAUGCGCACAUCUUGACGGUACCUAAUCAGAAAGCCACGGCUAACUACGUG